This 499-nucleotide long non-coding RNA is filed under the name Triticum aestivum (bread wheat). RNAcentral describes it as "long non-coding RNA (TAES_LNC013284)". Lineage: Eukaryota; Viridiplantae; Streptophyta; Magnoliopsida; Poales; Poaceae. The record is from RNAcentral.
ACGUUUACAAGAUCUGCUGGAGCACUUUUAGGGGAACGGAUUGUUGCAGACUACUGACAUGCCCCAACGAAAUCACACCACUGUCCAAGCUCUGCAAAUAAGGAUCACCAUAUACUGUUGACCUACUUGCAAAUUCAUACCACAACACCUGUGCCAAAGCAUGGCGUCAUGCACAAUGAUCAGAAGAUAAAACAUUGACUCGAAUUGCAGCCUGAAUAAUACGACGAUGGAUCAAGAAAAUGUCACAACAAGCCAACAAAGGGGAUGGUACUUCCUAGUUAUCUUCUCAAAAUAUUUGACAGGCAGACUUCAGUGGAAAUCAAAUAUUCACCAACCAGGCAAAAGAAAUCAGAAGUACAGAACCAGAACACACACUAGACAAAAAAGACUUCCACAGAUCUUGAAACUUGUACCAGGUAACUUAGAAGGUCAUCUCAUGCGGCUUGUCGCCAUCCCUGAGGGAGAACCGGGCACCAAGAUAAUUUUUAAGGUCUGGGAC